GACAACUACGCUCUAGCGGCUUAAUAACCCGCUAAGCCCAUCCCCCGGCGCUUUGUCUGCGAGACCGGACCAGGAUGGCUCAAACUAAUGUAGACUCGCGUGGAGGCUUUGUCCGGAGCUGAAGCGUUAAAACCAAUCGGACUCGUCAGUUGUGAAGCCUGUCAGUCGGCGUCACACUGAUUAACUAAAAGACUGACUAAGCAUGUAGGACCGAGGAUGUAGGUAUUGCGGACGCGGGUUCAACUCCCGCCAGCUCCAC
This 259-nucleotide unclassified non-coding RNA is filed under the name Idiomarina loihiensis L2TR. RNAcentral describes it as "SsrA". It matches the Rfam family "transfer-messenger RNA", at positions 102 to 372 of the family's 374-position model. From Rfam's summary of the family: Bacterial tmRNA, also known as 10Sa RNA or SsrA, is named for its dual tRNA and mRNA-like properties. The record is from RNAcentral. Lineage: Bacteria; Pseudomonadati; Pseudomonadota; Gammaproteobacteria; Alteromonadales; Idiomarinaceae.